RNAcentral lists this non-coding RNA (148 nucleotides) under Chlorocebus sabaeus (green monkey). The record is from Rfam by way of RNAcentral. Lineage: Eukaryota; Metazoa; Chordata; Mammalia; Primates; Cercopithecidae.
GCUGGGCAUGGUGGCGCAUGCCUGUAAUCCUAGCUACUCAGGAGGCUGAGGCAGAAGAAUCACUUGAACCUGGGAGGCAGAGGUUGCAGUGAGCUGAGAUCGUGCCACUGCACUCCAGCCUGAGCAACAGAGUGAGACUCUGUCUCAA